Molecule: ribosomal RNA, 113 nt
Filed under: Enterobacter cloacae
Lineage: Bacteria; Pseudomonadati; Pseudomonadota; Gammaproteobacteria; Enterobacterales; Enterobacteriaceae
Also listed under: 4 other names
Source: RNAcentral
GGCGGCUGUAGCGCGGUGGUCCCACCUGACCCCAUGCCGAACUCAGAAGUGAAACGCCGUAGCGCCGAUGGUAGUGUGGGGUCUCCCCAUGUGAGAGUAGGGAACUGCCAGGC